AUGCUAGCUUUGAUAGCCCAUAUAGUAUAAUUGGAAUGAUACUGAGAAGAUUGGGAUGGCCCCUGCACAAAGAUGACAUCAAUUUGGUGAAACAUUCCAUAUUAAA
This 106-nucleotide small nuclear RNA is filed under the name Notamacropus eugenii (tammar wallaby). Lineage: Eukaryota; Metazoa; Chordata; Mammalia; Diprotodontia; Macropodidae. The record is from RNAcentral.